GGCUAAAUGGAGACGUCUGGUCCCGCCGGAGACAUCCGGAUGCUAAGAGGGAAUUUGGUGCGACUGCCCGUUCAGUCAAGUCCAGAGCCGCCCCCGCGACUGUAAGCGGAGAGCUCCUGUUCAACCAGCCACUCCUGUUUUCAGGGGGAAGGCGAACAGAGGCAUCGACCCGCAAGCCAGGAGACCUGCCAGGCGUGAAUCGUAACA
RNAcentral lists this non-coding RNA (207 nucleotides) under Ruegeria meonggei. The record is from RNAcentral. Lineage: Bacteria; Pseudomonadati; Pseudomonadota; Alphaproteobacteria; Rhodobacterales; Roseobacteraceae.